Molecule: small RNA, 2634 nt
Filed under: Pan troglodytes (chimpanzee)
Lineage: Eukaryota; Metazoa; Chordata; Mammalia; Primates; Hominidae
Description: retained intron
Source: RNAcentral
UUCCACCCCUCCUCCCUUUCUUUUUCUCUCUCUUUUUUUCAGUUCCUUCUUGGAGGGACCACUCAGUAGAGCCUCUAAGGGACCCAAAUCCUUCAGACCUUUUGGAGAACCUGGAUGACAGUGUGUUUUCGAAGCGGCAUGCAAAACUGGAGCUGGAUGAGAAGAGAAGGAAAAGGUGAGGCCAGAGAUGUCCAUCCUGGAAACAACUGAGCCCUAGGACCUAGGACAGAGGAUCAGGGAACCUGACCUCCCUUUUUCAUGCUGUGGAGAAUCUUGGAGUACUUAACACUCUUACAUUACUGGCUUCCCAGUUGGUUGAAUAUCUUAGUUGGAAAUGGUAGUUGUUGUAGGUAAACAUGUUUGGCCUCUUUUUGUGUAUGACCUUCCUCAAUUCUACUUUCUGUGGAACACCAACACAUGAUCUAAACGGUAGACCUAAACAGCUCUCCCUUAACAAGGCAGUCAUUUCUCUUUACCCUGUCUAGAGGAGUCAGCAAGGGUCUUCCUAGCAUCUGGAUUGUGUGAGUUGCUUUUAUAGAGCAGGUUUUGGGUAAACAGUAAUGUUGGGUUUCUUUGUUUUGUUUGGUUUGUUUUUCCCAGAUGGGAUAUUCAGAGGAUCAGGGAACAAAGAAUUUUACAGCGACUGCAGCUCAGAAUGUAUAAAAAGAAAGGAAUUCAGGAAUCUGAGCCUGAGGUUACCUCAUUUUUCCCUGAGCCAGAUGAUGUUGAAAGUUUGAUGAUUACCCCCUUCUUGCCUGUUGUAGCAUUUGGACGACCAUUACCAAAAUUAACUCCACAGAAUUUUGAGCUACCCUGGUUGGAUGAGCGUAGCCGAUGCAGAUUGGAGAUCCAGAAGAAGCAAACACCUCACCGGACGUGUAGGAAAUAGCUGUGCUGGCAAGAACCCUGUCUUCAGAUAGUUGUAGCAUGCCAUUCCCGAGAGUGGCAGAGACCUGUAUAUGUGACCUUUGUCCUCACAUAUGUUAUCACUCGCUGAUAAUACCCUUUCAUACUUCCUUGACUUCGUUUUCAUUACUCUGAUUUCACAAAAACUCUUUAAUUCAGCUAAUUGUGAGUUAUGGAGGGUGAUUGGGAUUUCUUUUCCCUUUUUUGGGAAAUGGGCUCUCAAGCUAAAGCUAUAGGAUGGCAGAUUCAGAAGUUUCAGGGGUCUGUUUCUAUACAUUUGCCUAUGUUAAAGGGGUAAAAGGGCUCUCUUCAUUAGACAUGUGGAAGAUGAAGCAGCCCCUUCCUUUAGAGCUGUGCCUGCAUGGCACUCUUCUCACCCUGGUACACCCUCCUUAUAGUGGGUAUAGUGAUUUUUAACCCUAAAAUAAAACAAACAACCUCACCAUGAGCUUUAGGACCGGAAGAGGAAUGACAAGUGAAGCGAUGAAGCAAGCCAUCUUCAUAGAGUAGAAAAGACAUCGGAGAGUUGGUAGAUAACUGUCUGAAAAGAUAGUUGUUCACUUGAAACUAUUCUGUGAUACAGUCAUGUGGGAAGGGAUGUUUGGCUGUGAUGAUUUUUUCAGUUAAUGGAUAACAAUUUCUUUACUCCUCAAAAACCAAAAUCUUUGGAAAAGAAAGUGGGGAUGGUUAGUUUCAGAACAAGUUACAGCUGUAAACAAAAGCACUUAGUAUUUGGGAUGGCAUGCCAAAACCUGUAUAAAUGUCCUUGUAUCACAUCACUUCUCAAGUAUUCCUUCAUUGGGCUUCAUCCUUUUAGCAGAACUCUUGGUGGUGGGAUAGAGACUUAGGGAGGGUAGGGGUAGAGUGUGGAAAUACGUGCUUCCUUUGGCUGGCAAAUGUCUACAUCUUGAAACAAACAGAUGUACCUAAUGAGCUUCUCCAUUCACUUUGUAAAAAUAAUUUGUAUGUGUACCAUCUUGGUCCUCUCCCCUCCCGUUUUGUUAAAAUAUCAGGAUAGCACUCCCAGGCCACUUUGGUCUCAGUGUAAGAUCCCUAUUAACUAUCUGAAAGGAAAAUAGAGCCAAGACCUCUGGUCUCAAAUAUAUAGGAAUUGCCUUUCUUUAGUCUUCAGGACUAUUGUGUGAAAACAAGUAGGGGUCUAAUCUCCUAGAAGGUAGGGGCUUUUAUCCUUAAAGAGAAUAUGUCCCCAGAUUAUUAGCACUUUUAGAGGAGAAGCCAAGGUAUGUAGGGUGUGUGGCUGGCCCAUCAGUGGAGCACGAAGAGAGAAUGGGAUACCAUUGUGGGAAGAGAAGAAAAGUUCCUCAGGGGCCUCCCACUGCUAAAGCUUUUUGUGAGAUGUUGAUCUGUGCUUCCUGGAUUUGACUUUUAAAGGAAUUAUUCUGGCAGCACAUGUAGUAUUCUUGGAUGAUCUUGCUGCUCUUAUUUCUCCUUUUGUGUGUGUGUGUGUGUGUGGCUAUGGGUUUUCAUUUGUAACUCCAUCUGCUUAGGAGAGUGGGCUCUCUAUAAGGGAACCUGCUGUAAACUUCAUUGCAGCAAGGAUGUAGAGAGAAAUAGGACUUAAUUCCACUAGGGGCUCUCAUCUCACACCUUAAGGAGGAGAUUUCUAGAAAAACUGGGCCAGAUUUUCUUUGUUCUCCAUCAUUUUAAUGUGGCAGGCUGUUCAGUUUUCUUACUCUUACCUAUGUGGUAUUUCUUUGUAACGUGUCC